ACGAUUUUCCCUCUCGAGCCACAGCUGCCUGCCCUAAUCCUUUCCCCGCCGCCGACUUCUCCUGAUUACCCUUGUGAGUUCCUGUGCACAGCCGGGACUUCUUCUUCCUCGAGCUAUAGCCGCCGCUUCUCCUUGCACCAGCAUCACGGCACCAGCCGAUCUCCCUCACGCGGGCACCACAGCUUGCGAUCUCACCCUCAGCCGAAGUCGCGGCCGCCGAUUCUCUCCAAGUCGUGCCCUAACCAAACCAGCAAGUAGAUUCCCUUCGGCAGUUCUGGUGAAUUGAUGAUUGGGCUCUUGUUCGGAGGAUUGUGAUGCAGUUUUGUGUUGCUGGUUUUUCUGUGUUUACAGAUUUCGGACAGAAUUUGUUAGGACGUUGAUUGAAGACGGUUGAUACAAUCUACGUAUAAAGGCGGGUAUUUUU
Long non-coding RNA from Zingiber officinale, 424 nucleotides. RefSeq lists it as uncharacterized. The record is from RefSeq and is a predicted model, not a curated record. The transcript is spliced from 3 exons. NCBI's taxonomy places the organism in Eukaryota, Viridiplantae, Streptophyta, Magnoliopsida, Zingiberales, Zingiberaceae.